This 416-nucleotide ribosomal RNA is filed under the name Columba vitiensis. RNAcentral's name for it is "partial 16S ribosomal RNA". It matches the Rfam family "Bacterial large subunit ribosomal RNA", at positions 23 to 901 of the family's 2925-position model. Lineage: Eukaryota; Metazoa; Chordata; Aves; Columbiformes; Columbidae. The record is from RNAcentral.
UGCCAACUCUAGCCCAAUCCCCUACAACCAAGCAUGCAUAAUAAUCUACUAAAUCUUUAAACUAAAACAUUCUUCCGACUCAGUAUAGGUGAUAGAAAGGUCAUUAGGCGCCAUAGAGAUCCGUACCGUAAGGGAAAGAUGAAAUAGCAGUGAACAAGCCAAGCAACAAACAGCAAAGAUAAACCCUUGUACCUCUUGCAUCAUGAUCUAGCCAGAAUAACCAAGCAAAGUGAACUUAAGCUUGCCGCCCCGAAACCUAAGCGAGCUACUUGCAAGCAGCUACCCAUGAGCGAACCCGUCUCUGUUGCAAAAGAGUGGGAUGACUUGCUAGUAGAGGUGAAAAGCCAAUCGAGCUAGGUGAUAGCUGGUUACCUGUAAACGAAUCUAAGUUCAACCUUGGUACCUCCUCCAGGAAC